This 420-nucleotide ribosomal RNA is filed under the name Friesea mirabilis. Its description in RNAcentral is "partial 28S ribosomal RNA". The record is from RNAcentral. Lineage: Eukaryota; Metazoa; Arthropoda; Collembola; Poduromorpha; Neanuridae.
CCUCUCGGGGGUAAGCGGGCAGAACUUGUAAGUAUUGAUAAGAGAUUCAGAUUUAAGUUUAAUAAUUGAGUACUAUUGUUAAGUUGUUUAUUCGUAAACUGACUGAUUUUUGUACUUUAUUUUAUUGAAUGUAUGUCGCAUUUCUCCGUCAUUCGGAUUGUAAGCAACUAAUUUUGGUAGUUUUAAGUACUUGAAAUCUGUAAAUUAUUCAUUUAUGAAUGAUUUAAGUUUAAGUUAACUGAUUACUAUUGUGGUUGUAUAAUUAGCGUACAUGUGUUUGACACGGUUAAUUUAUAUUUACGAGUUGUGGAUAUGUUGUAUACGGAUGAGUAAUCAUAGUAUAUAAUAUGUAUAAAUUGUCAGUAAUAUAUAUUUAGCUAUGUACAGUAUUGCAAUCUAAAGCAUGCGUGGUCUGCCUGU